AGAGAUUGUCCAGUUUGUACACGAGGUGCGUCCAGUUUUCGCAAUGACCCUCUCUACUCUUUUGCAUAUGCUAUGCGGGUGAAAUGAUGAUACCAUGCCAAGUUCCAACAUUUUCAGAGUUCAUUUUGUAGUGAUUUUCAAUUUCACCGUCAUUUAGCUCUCUAAACAAAUCGGUAAAUGACUGAAAAACAGCAAAUGAUGUCAGAACGUGUUGGAAAUUGAUGACAUCGCUUUGAAUGAUGCAUACUGAACGCAAAAAUAGGCUGGAGUUCAAAUAAGUUUAAAAAACAUUGAAGUUCCCGUGUAACAGAUGACUUCUCAUCCGAAACCUUGAUACUCCGAAAGAGAUUGUCCAGUUUGUACACCAGGUGCGUCCAGUUUUCGCCGUGACCCUCUCUACUCUUUUGCAAAUGCUAUGCGGGUGAAAUGAUGAUACCAUGCCAAGUUCCAACAUUUUCAGAGUUCAUUUUGUAGUGAUUUUCAAUUUCACCGUCAUUUAGCUCUCUAAACAAAUCGGUAAAUGACUGAAAAACAACAAAUGAUGUCAGAACAUGUUGGAAAUUGAUGACGUCGCUUUGAAUGAUGC
RNAcentral lists this long non-coding RNA (586 nucleotides) under Triticum aestivum (bread wheat). RNAcentral describes it as "long non-coding RNA (TAES_LNC018541)". The record is from RNAcentral. Lineage: Eukaryota; Viridiplantae; Streptophyta; Magnoliopsida; Poales; Poaceae.